Daphnia carinata is the source of this 1614-nucleotide long non-coding RNA. RefSeq lists it as uncharacterized. NCBI's taxonomy places the organism in Eukaryota, Metazoa, Arthropoda, Branchiopoda, Diplostraca, Daphniidae. The transcript is spliced from 7 exons. The record is from RefSeq and is a predicted model, not a curated record.
UUGCCCCAUCUAUUAUAUGAGGACAAAAGUUAGAAAAAAUCUCACGGAACAGGGUAAACUUAUGGAAAGAUUCAGCCUACCCUGACAACCUACCGCUCUCGUCAAUGAUGGUGCAUACAGGCUCGUAGGGGGCUAGUCGCUAGGUGGCCCAGGUGCUGUGCUGAGCUGAGCUGCUGAUGGCCACAUUUAUCAUGGCGUCGUAGCGGCUAGUUAUAUCACGGCAGCCGAACGUGGCAGACCUUUAUUUUUGUAGGUGAAAUCCAAGGGAGGAAAUGCAAAUGCUCGGCGCCAUCUUGUACGAACGAUGUGGUCUGGCGGACACCUUACCAAGGUGACCAUGCAUUACCUUCGAGUGUAUUUAAGUUGCAAGUCGGUAGAUUUGCUCUGCAGUUUCCCGGAUACCAGCACCCUGCUUCGCGAGAACUACUCUACGUUGUUCUGGGUGGGCUUAGACGAACAUCUGAAUCCGAUUUUGAAGAAGUCUUGCAUCGAUGGACACUGACAAAAUAUAGGAAGCUGCACAUGAAUGUUGGGUAUUUUAUCAUAAGUAGAAUACAGAUAGAUUCUGUAGUAGUAGAUCUCUUUAGUUGGGUAUUGAAAUUGGCUUUGGUUUGUAUGGGGUCUGAUGAGGUCUCAGUUGCAUUUGAUCCUACUUGUUAUUUAUCACUGCCAAUGCCAGUCGAAAAGGAAGUACCAGUUGACCUGUAUCUGGCUAACGUGGACCUUUUAGCAGAAAUUUUUCUGCUUUCAAGGGAUUCAAAGAGUUUGUAGAAUAUUAUGUCUCUAGGAUUCCACAGUUUUAGGCAGAUUCUUAAUUAUAAAGGAUUGGGAAAGAAAAUUGACGGAGGCUCAGUGCCAAAAAAAUUAUGGUAGUUGGAAUGAUUACCGAAGCUCUUCGGAUUCGUUUAUUUCACUCGUUAUGGUAUUUAAAGAAAAUAAACGUGUACCUGUGCCCCUUUGUAUCUGUGACCCGAUUUCCUCUUCACUUGCGAUAAUUCUGCAGCGGGUCAUGCAGAUACUGUGAUCAGCAGAAAAAGUUGGAAGUGCGCUGCCCGGAAAGCAAAUCUGGGGUAAAAGAAAAAAACUUAUUCCAACUAGUAAGCCAUUCCCAAAUUCAACCAACAAAAAGGAAAAGGUGGAAGGAAAAACUUCGUUCUCUGGUAGUGUUUUAGUUAAAAUCCUUUUUGUGCAAAUUCAUUUUUGAAAUUGUUUACCUCAUUUUCGAAUGGUUCCGUUCACAUUUGUUGUUCAUGUGAGAUUUUAUGUUUACCAGUUACUGCAUUAUAUUGACCACUAUUGCAAGAUGUUUGUUUAGGAAUAACUACUGUUUUGUUUAUCUGGAAUGUUGUGUGGGAGUCCAUCAGGAAUUGCUGGUCUGCAGUAAAUUUGUCAGGCUAGGUGAUGAAGAUCAAUGAAUCAGAAAAUGUUUUGCAUGGGUGGUGAAUGUUCUGACAGUUUUAACAGUUGUGAUGUGGUGUAUUUCACUUCCACGCAUCAUGGUGUUUUUAUCUAUCAGUUGAAUUGUAUGGUUAAUUUUCUGUUCGUGUAACCUCAUUUCCUCUUGAAUCAUAUAGUAGAAAUUGGUGACCUGAAACAAUGAACAUGGAAAAAUCA